RNAcentral lists this long non-coding RNA (2539 nucleotides) under Varroa destructor (honeybee mite). Its description in RNAcentral is "uncharacterized LOC111252106". Lineage: Eukaryota; Metazoa; Arthropoda; Arachnida; Mesostigmata; Varroidae. The record is from RNAcentral.
CGACCGCGCAUGUUCAGUGUCUUGAUUCGGAAGAGCAUUAGUGAAAACAAAAAGAUGAUGGAGACAAAGGAAACGCGCAACGAAAAUGCCCCGGUCGGAAAGAUAGACAAGGGAAAGCCUGUUGCACAUUAGGCUGAAAGUACUACAGUUGUCGACGUCUAUAGCUAGCCAAUUUAGCGAUGCUUAAAUGUCGCUAUAUUGCUAAUGCAUAGAACACACAUCAAGGAGCUGACGGAAGUUACCAAAGCCAAUCGUUUUCACGCAGCAGACCGAAGAAGCUCCCUCUAACAUGCAGGCGACAGCUGAAUCUGCGACGUUGUCAUCAUUCAAUGGACCUGGUAGCAGCGGAACCCCAGGGACGUGCCAUAUUACGUACCGCAGACGGCCAAUGUAGGAGCAAAUCAACGCCAUUUUUACAAAGCAGAGCGAGCACGUUCGUCUUGCCAUCUGAAUGUACAUUAAUGACAAACAAACAAACAAACAAACAAACAAAAAUAAAACAACAGUCUAGCACCAAUAUCAAAGCAAAUACUCUACUAAUCAGGUUGAAGACAAAAAUGUUGUGAUCAAUGGCAAAUGGUUGUAACGAAGUGUGCCGGCCAAUUGUUUUGGGAAGUGCACAGUACCGUAUAUAUGCAUUAUUGAUAUCUUCUUUAUCAGCAAUAUAUGUACGUAUACAUGUAAAUGUUUAUGAAAGUGUUGAACAUUAUUGUGUGUGCAGUUUUUUUUGAGCGUGCAUAUUACUAACUACCACUUUGGCUGAAAACUAUCAAAAAUCGAUGAUACAGCAGUAGUACGACCGGUUGGUUAACAGAACGUCAACAUUUUAAGAAGGCUGCAAUUAAUCGAUGAGGUUUUUCCCUUGAGGAAAUUUUUCGUCUUCUGCACCUGAGAAAAUAUUCACAACUUCUCAGAGAUCUUUGAUUCAUCGGCGGAUUUUUUUGGCAAAACAUUACGAAUCUUUAAAAGAGCAAAGUGAAGUCUUCACUGGUCUUGCCUGUGAGAUUUGCUGAAGCAGAAAGUUGGCUCCGUUAUCUUAGCUUGUAUAAUUUCGUAUUUGGACGUCGAUUGCUAAAUGAAUCCGUUACGAUCUACCAUCUAUUUUAUUAAUGCCAUUAUCUGAUUGCUUUCCUUGAGCAUUUGUUUACGUUUAUAGCACAUAUACGAUAGGCUCGAUCUAUUCAGCCUUUAUCAACACCGAGUCAAUUCGAAUAUCCACGAGAAGAACCAAGGGCAAUUGGUUUUUCGUAAGCACCAUCCAUAUUUGAUUUUUUGGAAACUAACGGCGUGGAAAACAUUUCGCAACUUCUACAUUAUUAUCAUCACGAGUUUCUAUCAUGAUUAACAUCGCCGGGUACAAUUUAUGGCUUGGCAAGGGGCCAGUCUUGUUUUUCUCGUUAAAUUGCUUCUGUUGAGUUUAAAGAAUCUGCUUUAUCGAUGACUGAAAAGCGCUGAGAUGUUCGCGCAGCAUUGAUCGUCUCCUUAUGACCUUUUACUUAAAUGAUCGAUCAGAAGAAGCGUUUCCUCUAUUAGCCGACGGUCGUUCACAAAACUGAUGGGACUGUUAUUACUGACACAAAGUUCUUCAGAAGCAAGUUGACAUCGAUCAGAAGCAGAUUGCGGUGUUUCUCAUUGAGAAACUGGUCAACUUUGUUCCGCUACAGUUAAAAAGAAAAAUGUGAAGAGAAAGUUGCUCAGAGCUAGAACUGCCUUCAUGUUCAUUCUGUCGGCACAAGGCAGAACGAUCCAUAAAAAUAUAUAUAAACUUAUAAAGUUGGCCCAUAAAACCAUCUGAAUCCAGGACAAUUCACCUAUGUGUACCACACUAAAUAGCGUUUUGUCGUUAAUGACGGUCCCAUUUCUACUGGACUAAUGCCUUUACCAACUACUAAUGAGCUAAAAACAAUCCGUUUUUCUUAGCACGAUGAUAACCAUUUCUAAUAAACUCGAUCCAAAACUCCUUGGUAUCUUCUCUGAGCGUUUGAAAUAUCGUUAGUCUUGCUCUCCUCAAAAGGAUCGAGCUGUUAUACGACGGCUGUACAAAGGAACACUGCUGGUCCAUCUUACUGUGGAAGUGCCUUUUUGAUCUAGGAUACCACUUUGGAUUUGGCCAUUGGAUUUUUUUAGUCCUAUACAAUUAGGUUAGACAAGCAUUGCUAACUGCGCAUGCUUGAGUCGUCCCGAUUCCCUCUGAAGUAAUCCGCACCGCAUUAUGUAUGUGUGUGUCACCAUCUCUUCCAAUCCUCAAAACAGUUUUUGAAUGCAAGUGUACGAAUGGAUUCUCACUCGGCCUUCGUUUACCAUAGACUUCCUUAAUCGCUCUCCAGCUUUUUCCUACAGUUUCUUUUGAUCCUUGAGAAGAAAGCAGCUCCACAAAGAGCUAUAUAUUAUAGUGCAUACGGCUUAAGCUCAAGACAACGCGGACAUCGAGUUUCGCUGUGAAAGACGCGGAAGGAGUACCUUAUGCAGGAACUAACGCGUUGUUCUUUCAAAAUGCAAGCCUAUUUUAGUGGGCAACAUUAUAUGAAUAUGUUGAAAC